GGGAGAGAGAGAGAGGUAUCGAUAGGGGUGGAGUGGAGGUCUAUCUUUUUGUCUUUUAUUUUUAUUUCAUAAAGUAUUAAAAUAAAUAAGAAAAGAAAAUACAAAACUGAAAUUAAAAGGGUAAAUAGGUAAUUUUAAAUUUUUUUGGACCAAAAACCCAGAAAACCUUGAUUUUAGACCUUCUGUGCAAGUUGGAAACUUUUUGGACUCCAUCUAAAGAUUUUUGCAAACCACAAGGACCAAAUUUGAAGUUUUGUCGUAUUUAAUAACAUUGUAUUUUGCAAUUCAAACCAUAAAAAUGGCAACGCUCACAAAAUCAGGCUACACAUAAUAAGUAGUAAUUAUUAUAAUUAAAAUCCUUCAAUAGGAUAAACUAUAGUCGUGCGCACUGCAGACUAUAUAAUAAAAGUUUCAUAUUAAGGAACAAUAGGAAAAAUCAACCAAAUCGCCCGUAAAUCGUAAAANUACCUGUUACAAAGAUCUAAUCGAUCUUCACGUUUAUUUAAUAUUUUAACAAUAUAUGUGUAUAUAUAUAUAUAUAUAUAUAUAUAUAUGUAUAUAUAUAUAGAUACUACAAGUCGUCCUGAUCCCGAAUAUAUAAAUUUCGUAGAAAUCCAACUCCGUGUGAAUUAGAUAUGAUUUUUAUAAAAUAUAAAAGUCAGGUGCAUGCAAGGAAUAUGUGACGUAAAAGGCUAUGAGAAAAUGAUUGACUUUUAGUUAAAGUUACAAAAAGGAAAGUCAUAGUACUCUUUAGGGUUGGAAUUUUGAGAAAAAGAAUACCUAAAAUGAAGUCCAUACGAGAGAGUUAUGAUUUUAGCAAAAUCAUUUAAUUGUAUAAAAAUAGGGAUGAAAAAUAAAGUCAGAAUUAGCUGAUGGAGUCUAAAGUAAAGUUGUAGAUCUCACUGAGAGCUUUCAGGGGAUAUAAAGAACAUUAAAAACAGAGCUCGUAUGAAGAAAUUACAGAACUUACAAAAUAUGAGUUUUUGGAUUUAUCAGUGAUUCCAAGUUAUAAUACAAAUUGAUCUACUUACGGGAGAGGUGUCUAGAAUGGUCAUGUUCUGAAAUGGUCUUGCCUCCCAAAUGUCCUGCUUGGCUGAUCCUUACUUUAUAGAUCUUGAUGUGGACAUUGGGAUUAGUGAGGUAUCUAGACUGUAAUCAUUAUAGUCACCAAGAUUAUGAAAAUAGACUAAGGCUUAGUACUUUAUGCAUCUAGAUCUUUCGAAAGUAUGAAGUGAGGCCCUGCCAAAAUUGCCAGUCACCCACCCAAUUCAAGUGAGCGUGUAGUCCCUUUCAUGAACAUGAUUUAACACAAGUAUUAAAUAUAUGUUGGUAAUCGUAUAUGAAUUAUAUGCUUAUUGUUCGGAUUUAAAUGUUAAUUAUAUAUUAUGCUAUGGGAGAACCAAAUCGGGUUCUAUUUUAUGUCAGGGUUAAAUAGAUAUUAUCAUGAAAUAGUAUUAAAAGUAGCAUUGCUGAGAAGAUAAAAGAAUAAUGCUAUGUAUGGAAUAUAAAUACUCUAGAGAUAGGUUAGUGUCACCCAAGAAUAGAGUUGAUAUUAAACGUUGGUUACAGGCAUUGUAGUCUAGUCUAGGGAUAAACUUAGACUUGUGGAAGGUACCUAUUUCAAUUAAGUUUGAUAUAAGGUAGUCUCAUUAGGCGAAUGUGUGUAACCUAUGGACGGAGAGUGAAUUUUUGUUCCAUGACACUUUCAGGUGUCAAUGUACGGUAGCUCCGUAUGAGAGUACGAUAUAGUAUUCCCCUUGGGAUGACCAGAUAUGGUGGGUCCCGAUCAGACAGCUGUAAUGGUAUACCUGCAUAUUUUUAGAUAACCAUAAUUGGUAGGUCCUUGUCAGACAACUGUAAUGGUAUCUCUGCAUAUUCUUAGUGACUUACACAGGCCAAGGAAGCCCUUAAGUCUAUAGUCAAUCUUUUAUUGUUUCAUCAGGCGAGAUAAUUUUCCCAUGAUAAUGAUGGCCUAGGAUCUGUGAGGAUCGGUAGGAAUGGAUAUUUAUAUAUAUAUAUAUNNNNNNNNNNNNNNNNNNNNNNNNNNNNNNNNNNNNNNNNNNNNNNNNNNNNNNNNNNNNNNNNNNNNNNNNNNNNNNNNNNNNNNNNNNNNNNNNNNNNNNNNNNNNNNNNNNNNNNNNNNNNNNNNNNNNNNNNNNNNNNNNNNNNNNNNNNNNNNNNNNNNNNNNNNNNNNNNNNNNNNNNNNNNNNNNNNNNNNNNNNNNNNNNNNNNNNNNNNNNNNNNNNAUAUAUAGGAACAUAAGCCUAUAUAGAUAUAGUAUGGUAAUGGUUGGUUUUGUAGGUCUGAUAAUUUAGGAAUAUUAUCAUAUUGAUAUUAUGGAACUAAAAUCCCUAUGUAUCUCACUAGGUUUCCCCAACCUGACUCACUCAGUUUAUAUGCAUCAAAAGUAUCAAUACUUAAGCUACUGGAACUUGGUUAAGAUGUUGAGUGAUUAAGAGACAAUCUGCAAUAGUAUUUAGGACCAUCAGGUUUUUACGCUGUAACUUAUGUAUCUGUAUUGAUUAUGACUUCCUUAGGGUCUUAACAUUUUGGAAACAAACAUUUGUAAUCAAAAUGAGCUUUUGUACUGGGAUUUUCCGCAAAUAUAAAUAAAUGAUUUUUUCAGCGUAAAGAAAAGUUUUAAUUGGUUCUGAAAAUUAGAAGCAUGUCACAGUCGGUAUCAAAACAUUAGUUUAAUCGAACUAGGAAUUUGUAUGAUUUCUAGAUUUAAAAUUAGAGGUUAUGCAAUGAUGGUGAGGUGUGUGUCUAGGAUAGUUUAGGUUGUAUGCUUGAAUAGACACAAACACAUAUAUAUAUCAUAACGUAGGUUAAAAACCUUAUUUGCUAUAUUAUGCACUAGCAUACUUUAUAAAUGCCUUAUAUGUGCUAAAUGAUAUGUAUAGCAUGCCUUAGGUUUUUUUUUACCUAGAUUGCUAAGUACUAGAAAAGUUAAGGUCUGUUACUGACCCCUAGUAUUAGGAAAUUUUAUGUGUUCAGAUUUCUAAACGUUUAAUUAUUGUANNNNNNNNNNNNNNNNNNNNNNNNNNNNNNNNNNNNNNNNNNNNNNNNNNNNNNNNNNNNNNNNNNNNNNNNNNNNNNNNNNNNNNNNNNNNNNNNNNNNNNNNNNNNNNNNNNNNNNNNNNNNNNNNNNNNNNNNNNNNNNNNNNNNNNNNNNNNNNNNNNNNNNNNNNNNNNNNNNNNNNNNNNNNNNNNNNNNNNNNNNNNNNNNNNNNNNNNNNNNNNNNNNNNNNNNNNNNNNNNNNNNNNNNNNNNNNAUAUAUAUAUAUAUAUAUAUAAUUUCAUGACAAUCACAAGGAGCAGUAGAGUCGUCAAUAACGAAGGAGGUCCAGCACCUCAAAAUGUUGGAGUAGUUGUUGUUCAAAUCCCGAUGAAUAAAGCUCGGGCAAUGAUGCAAGAAAUGAUUGAUUAGCGGCGACGUGAUUUUAUGGAGCUCUUAGCUCAGGAGCUAGCUAGUGCUAAAGGAUGAGCACCAUUGGUAAUGAAAUAAUUCAACAAUGAAACGAUUUCUUCACAUUUCAUGACAGUCCAGGAAGGAAAUAAUGAUGACUCGGAAAGUUAUUAAGCAUUGGAGCAACUAGAGGUCCAGAGAAAUGACGAACCCAAAGGUUACUGCAAGUAUAUGGAUUUCAUGACUUGCAAGCCAUCAUUAUUUAGUGAGAAGUAAUAUCUCGUAUGGGUUAUGGAAUGGAUAUCGGAGAAGGAUUCGGCCUUCAUAACAUGUGGAUGCAUGGGCAAACUACAAACCGCCUAUGAUGUGAGGCAGUUCAAGGGCACAUUACUUUGUUGGUGGAACACGUUUGGGAAAAUUAUGAGCCCCAACAAGCCAAUGCAGUUGACAUGGGACAAAUUCUUGACCCAUUUCAAGAGGAAGUUCUAUUAAGAUGAGAAAAUGUUAGAACUGCAAAAUCAGUUAUUGGCUUUGAUAAAGGGAAGCAUGUCUGUGGACGAGUACACCAACGCCUUCACGGAUAAAAUGGAGUUUGCCCUACGACUUGUUCCAGACGAACCGACCAAGAUUGAUAGGUAUACCAAGGGGAUACCUUGGGAAUACAAUGUGCCAGUUAAGCAGACACGUACAUUUGAGGUGACCGUCUGGGCUGCAAAGUCUGUUGAAGGGAUGAUGAAGAAAAGGAAAGCUGCCAAAGUUGAAGUCAAUGAGAAGAGGAGAACUGAGGUAAGCAACAACAACAAAGACAAGAAAAAGAAGUAUUCAAAGCCAGGAAAUGAGUCUGGAAGCGACCAGGAAGGGAAGUGGUGCGACCAGUGCAACAUGAGGAAUUCUGGGGACUAUGUCGUCUGCUACAAAUGCAAGAAGUCGGGGCAUAUCUGUACAAACUAUCUAGUAAAAGGAAAAGCUUGCUUCACUUAUGGAAAAGAAGGGAACAUGAACACGAAGUGCCGAAAAGCUGAGAAGAAAACCCCAAGGAUCCUACCAGCAAAGCCCAAGGGUAGAAGCUUCCAAAUGAUCCUUGAUGAAGCGUAUGUCGUUGCAGGAAAUCUAGAGUAGAAAACUGCUUAUUCGAAGAUCAAUAUAUAAGUAGUCGUCCUAUAUAGAUAGUAAUAGGAAGUGAAGCCCAAUAUAAUGGGCAUAGUGUAUAAAUAAAUGUUGUAAUCAUUUUUGAAAGUUAUAAAACUUCUAGUUAAGUUAAAAUGUUGUGUGGCAUUAAGAACUUAUGAUUUCAAAAUAAUGGUUUGGUUAAGAAUAAAUUAUGAUAUAGUGUGCCUGUAAGCAGAAUACUACACGAGAAAUAAUUUAUUCCAAAGGUUGGAAAUAGAAUUGUGGUUGAAGAUACGCAUGGAAGAAAUCGUAGUGGAGUUUAGGAAAUUUGUUUUAUAUGAUUAUUCUGACACAUCUAUUUUUGUUAAGCUGCUUUUGUGAUCUUUAGGAAACAGUAACUUGGGAAAACUACAAGAUAAAUUUUGGGACAAGUAUGUGUAGGUGUGGAAGGUAGUAUGGGCCCAUAAUACUGUGAAGCACAAGACUCAUACUUGGAUCAGGAGGAGUCACAAGGUCACUAAGGUACUAGUAGUUGAAUUGUUCGUACAUGUCCGUCGUUGCCAUCGUUUCAGUAACAGCUAAGAUGAUAAAAGUUAUUUUUGAUCCUAGUGGUCAUAUCGAAUCAAGUCCAACUAAUCUAUGAAGUAAGUUUGAUGUAUCGUUCGAUUUUAGAUCGAAGGAAGAGAUAAUCGAAGAAAUCAAUACGUCACACCCCCAAACCAAGGAUGGCGGAAACGUCCGGGGGUCGAGGACUUCAUGUAGAGUAUCACAACAACGAGUAUAAUAGUGCUCAAAGUAAAUACAACCAUCAUAAAUAUAACUGAAAAAGUUACACCAAAGUAUAUGUUUACAUGAUUCAAAUCAAUUACAUUAUGAUACAAAAUGAACUAUUUGACGAUUUAUCGUCCCAUCCUCAAAACGUGGUUGAUUUCCUGUUUCACUGAAUUCCUGAGAAUACAAGUAGUUUUGAAAAGUGUCAACACAAAGGUUGGUGAGUUCAUAAGCUUUUGACGGUAAGAGUUUGAAAAUCGAUCUUUGUAAAGAGAUGUAUCUUACCAAGAAAAAUCCAAUAUUUUCCUUACAUAAGUUAUGUGGUCCUAAAUACCAGGACCGAAAACGAACAAGUAUUUGUCAUACUUAAAGAUAUAAAAGUGGUUUUAAAUCGGCAUAAAACCCUUUCUGAUUUGAAAGCAUACAAGUAUUUUUCCAUACUUAAGGUAAUUUUUAUGAGUUAAAUCGACAUAACUAGCUAAUUUAAAGUUAGAACCCGUAAAUCUUAUGAUUUUUAAUACCACAUGUGAGCUAUCAUAACCAUACUUGACAUAGACGGCUUCGUAAUACGACGUUCUUCAGGCGUCGCCGUUAAAUGACACUUGUCACCACAGACCUGCCGGUCUAGCUGUUGCAAGCAGCUCUGGUGUGGGUUUGUCAAACCCAAUAUAGAUCUAUACACAACUAUCACGUUCUCCCUACAAGAGACUCUGGUUACAAUUUACAGGACUUUUUGACUUUGUUACUUUGGAAGUAACCCGAAGUGAAUGACUCACAAAUUUAUUCAUUAACAGAUUUACGUGAACUAAACUGAAAAACCUUUGAUAAAUAAGUUUGAGAAGUAAAUGAUACAUAAACUAUACCUAUUAUAGUUUAUCCAAAACGUUUGUAAUGUAUAAGAAUUCUUUUAUGAAUGCUUUAAUGCUAUGAAUCCAUAAACUAUGCUCAUUAUAGCUUAAUAUACGUGUUCUAAAUGAAUGAAUAAUCUUAUCAUGAAUGACUAUGUUUCAGUUUAUGAUGAUAAACUAACAAGGAAACACAUUCAAUAUUUAGAACUUAUCGUUAUACACUUUGCUCAACAUAAUACAAAGUGUUAUGAAAGUUAUAAGCUGUUAACAAAUUUUCAACCUUUCUACACUGUUUUUGAAAAGUCAUAGAAAAAUCAUACGAAGUUGAAAACUAAAUCCGUAAAUUCUGAGAGUUCCCAAAAUGUGUCUAGUUUACUCAUAAUUUUUAUCAUGAUUUUUAAUGACCUCCAACUUGGGUGAAAAAGUCCAUAAUCACAGACUGGUCCGGAUUGGUGUUUGAAAUGAUAGGCAGUUUUGUAAAAAUCACCAUAAAUUGUAGAAAAAUCGUAUGGAGAUGUGCAAGUAGUCAUUUUAAAGCUAAGAACUGGAACUACUUACACCUAAAACAGUUUUUCAAACAAAAAUGUUUAAGUUGUCCAAAACAGUCCGUGAAUGGAGUCCAACUUUUCUGAUGAAAGCUGUUAGAAAAAUUUAGUUAUGUUCUUGGUGUUUUAACUUGUAUUCCCCCCCUAAAAACUUAAGAAAACAUAAAAAUGUAGGGGUAUGAGCUCACCUUGAGUGAUUUCAGUAGAUGAGUGUUGAAGAAGAGAAGUGUUCAACUCAAGAACACUUGAAGAAUCACUUGAAGAUUCGAAGAUCUAACAAGAAUGUGAUGAUGUUUGUGUAAGCAAUCUAUGAUUUUGAGUAGGAGGAUGUGUAAUAAUCAUAAGAAAGAUGAUGAUACUUACUAAAUGAAGGAGAAAAGUCUUGGAGUAUGCCUUGAAGUUCUCGAAUUUUAGAGAGAAAGAUGAGAGAGUUUGGAGUGUGAUUCUUGGUGGAAAAAUGAGAGAAUGAAUGAAGUGUGAGGAGAGAGGGUGGAUGUUCCAGCUCUAAGAACGUGGGAAAUGACUGGAAAUAAUGAGAAAGGACUAUGAAAUGACUAGGGAUGGGCUGAUGGUGAAUAGUGACAUGGAGUGGGUAUGGGAGUGGUUGCUUGUGUCAUAGAAUAAAGGAAAGUCAACACUCCACCUCUUGUACUUCACCCACUCUUCUUGGAUAAGGUUUUAUCCUUAAAAACGUGAUUAAUUAAUAAUUAAGGGGUCUUAUAUGCUAAAAUAAAGUUUUAGGUGAAAAUCCCACGUUAAAAUAAUUAAAAACGAAGUUAAAAUGCAAAACUACUCGAAAACCGGGAGAAAAGAAGCUUCCCAGCGAGACCUCUCGGUCCUGGCCGAGGUUCGGUCCCCUCUGAUGCUGAGCCGGAAGCGAAGGGCUCGGUCCAAAGGCAUCAGAAGCGAAAUGGACCGAAGUGAACAGUACUUUCGGGUUCGGGUGUAUGCGAGGUUUGGUCGCGAGAGGACCCUUCGGGUUCGGUCCUCUUGGUUUUGGUCCCUAAGAGGACUUUCGGGUCUAAGAGGAGNGUCAAGGGUCGGAAUGACCCGAAUGACUUCAGAAAGUUGCGGGAACUUUUGAGAGAGAUUUGGGAGAAAUUUCACAUACUUGGAGAGAUUUGGGAGAUAUUUGACAUACUUGGAGAGAUUUCUCAUACAAAGAGAUAUUUGGGAGAGAUUUCACAUAAUUGGAGAGAUUUCUCAUACAAAGAGAGAUUUGGGAGAGAUUUCACAUACUUGGAGAGAUUUGGGAGAGAUUUGACAUACUUAGAGAGAUUUGGGAGAGAUUUGACAUUCUUGGAGAGAUUUCUCAUACAAAGAGAUAUUUGGGAGAGAUUUCACAUACUUAGAGAGAUUUGGGAGAGAUUUCAAAAUAGAGAGAGAUAGAGUGAAAACGAUUGAGAGAAGUUUCAUUUGUGACCUUUUUGAGUGUCCGGCUUCGCAAUGCAAGGUCCGUAAACCCUGUUAAGCCUUGUUUAAGGAUCUUACACACUCCCGAUGAGUAUGCAACAUUGUUUUAUCGGUUUGGCUCACCACGUACCACAAUUUUAGAUUAAGGAGAUCUAGAUGUACGCACUUUUCGAUUUAUGAUCUCUCAUUAGAAUAGCGAGUUGUUUAGAAAUUGCAUAACGUAAACUCUAGUACCCACGGGCAAAUUGAGUCGAAUGGUUUGACUUGUUGACUUCAGUUGACUUUGAAUUGACCGGAAAUUGACGGUUGUCACACAAUAUAAGUAUCGUAGUCGCCGUUAGGAUUAAGCAGUCUGUAGCUAAAAGUGCUAUCUGCUAGAUUGUGAUUAUAUCACAUUAGAACAUGAAGGAAUGUAUCCUUCAAGUGAGGAUCCGAUUCAAAGAGACCUCAGUCUAGCCUUUGCAUCAUAUGAUGAGAGGUUAUUAGAACAUGACCCAUCGGUCAGUUAUGAUAGUCAAAGUAAAGACCUUAUCUUAGGUUAAAUCAAUUCUAUAAGGAGCAAGAGCCUCUAAUGGAGACCAAAUUUAGAAGGAAGAACAUGUAUGAAAUAGAGAACCGUCAACAAUCAAGAAAUCUAAGAGUUUCAAAACUCAAUAGAAAAUACAUAUGAGUUACGUUUAUUACCUAAGACGGAAAGGUAACGUGCAAAGUCAUUAUACAAGCCUUAUUUUGUUGAUGAUUAUGGGAUGUAAUCAUAUUAAGGGGGAAGAUAAUUGUAAUGCUUGCAAAUUCAGGCUACACAUAAUAAGUAAUAAUUAUUAAAAUUAAAAUCCUUGAAUAGGAUAAUAUAUAGUUGUACACAAUGCAGAAUAUACAAUACAAGUUUCAUAUUAAGGAAAAAAUAGGAAAAAUUAGUCGAAUCGCCCGUAAAUCGUAAAAAUAAGUGUGCCAAAACAUANNNNNNNNNNNNNNNNNNNNNNNNNNNNNNNNNNNNNNNNNNNNNNNNNNNNNNNNNNNNNNNNNNNNNNNNNNNNNNNNNNNNNNNNNNNNNNNNNNNNNNNNNNNNNNNNNNNNNNNNNNNNNNNNNNUGAAAGUAUAAAUUUUGUAGAAAUCUGACUCCGUAUGAAUUAGAUAUGAUUUUUGUAAGAUAUAAAAGUCAACCGUACAUAAGGAAUGUGUGACGUAAAAACCUAUGAAGAGAAUGGUUGACUUUUAGCUAAAGUCACCAAAAGGAAAGUCGUAGUUCUCUUUAAGAUAGGAAUUUUGAGAAAAAGAAUGCCUACAAUGCAGUCCAUAUGAGAGAGUUAUGAUUUUAGCAAAAUCAUUUAAUCUUAUAAAAAUAGGGACUAAAAUGGAAUUAACCGAUGCAGUCUAAAGGAAAGUUGUAGAUCUCAUCGGGUGCUUUCCGAGGAUAUAAAGAACGUCGAAAACGAGCUCGUAUAAAUAAGUUACGAAAUUUACGAAAUCUGCAUAUUGUGCGGUGUGCGCCGGGUGCGCGACGCGCCCUUCUAGAAGGUGAAACAUGGACCACAGAGAAGCUGAUACAUGGCACAAAAUGGUCGGGGAGACGUCCCCUUAAAAUGUGCGACGUGCACCUCAAAAUCAACUAUAAAUAGGAGGCCAAGCCUCAUUCUUUCUCCCACAACUUCCCAAACACACACACACAUAGUCUCUCUCUCUCUCUAUUUCUUUUAGUUCCAGCUCAUUUUCUCUUACUUUUAGUCUUUGGUGAAGCCCUGCGAUCCCUAAAGUAGUAGUAGCUAGAGUGUAGAAGCUCUACCAGUGCAAUUGCCUAACUUUUGUCAGGGUGAACCUCUGUAUGUUAAGCUACACUCUAGUGUUUUUAGUGUAACUUAUAUUUAUAGUCAUAAGUCUUUAUUAUAAACCUAUAAAUUAGAUUUAUCAGUGAUUCCAAGUCAUAGUACUAAUAGAUCUACUUAUGGGAGAGGUGUCUAGAAUGGUCAUGUUGGCUUUGUUGUUGGAUUUUAGAAAGGCUAUACACUGAAAUGGUCUUGCCUCCCAACUGUCCUUCCUAGCUAAUCCUUACUUGAUAGAUCUUGAUGUGGACAUUCAGAUUAGUGAGGAAUCUAGAUUAUAAUUAUUAUAGUCACCAGGAUUACAAAACUAAACUAAGGCUUAGUACUUUAUGGAUCUAGAUCUUUCGAAAGUACGAAGUGAGGUGCUGUCGAAAUCGCCAAUCACCCACCCAAGUCAAGUGAGUGCAUUGUAAUGCCUGGAUCCUGGUAUGUAUUUUAAAUCAAAUUAUUAAUUUUUGCAAAGGGACUCGACGAGUUGGAGGCCCCAAACUCGUCGAGUAGGAAUGAAAUUUGGACACGGGACUUGAAGUCUACUCAGCGAGUUGAGAGCCUCAACUCGACGAGUAGGGCUGCCAGAGUGAAACCCUAAUUUUCAGGGUUUUGCAUCCUAUUUAAACACCUUAACCUCCAAAGUUCGGCCUCAUUUGCAGCCUCCAUCACCCCAAACCCUAGCCACGAAACCCUAAUCAACUUUUGAGUGUUCAUGACGAGUUGGGUACUCAUCUACAUUUUAGUACGACUUUUCACCCCCAGAUGGAUGGUCAGAGCGAGCGGACCAUCCAGAAUUUGGAGGAUAUGAUGUGAGUGUGUUCUUAGACUUUGGUGGUAGUUGGGAUACCUACCUUCCCUUGGCACAGUUUUCCUAUAAUAAUAUCUACCACACGAGUAUCGAUCGUCCUCCCUUCGAGAUGUUAUAUGGAAGGAAGUGUAAAACCCCGAUAUGCUGGGGUGAGGUUGGGCAGAGGGUCAUGGGGAGUACCGAAGUGGUACUCAAGACGACAGAGAGGAUUCAGCAAGCUUCAGACUGCUCAGAGUCGGCAAAAAAGUUAUGCUAACAAGCGUCGUUCAGACUUGGAGUUUCAGGUAGAAGAUAUGGUUCUCCUGAAGGUGUCACCUUGGAAAGGUGUCAUCCGGUUCAGGAAGCGGAAAAAGUUGGGCCCCAGGUACAUUGGUCCUUUUAGGGUUAUAGCCCGGGCAGGCAAUAUGGUGUAUAGGCUGGAUCUGCCAGCCAAGCAUAGUCAGAUCCACAACACUUUUCAUGUCUCCCAGCUACGGAAGUGCUUGGUAGAUGACUCUGCAGUGGUGCCUCUGGAGGAUAUUCAGGUGGAUGAUAGCCUGAACUACAUCGAGCGAACGGUAUCCAUCCUCGCCAGGAAGACAAAAGAUCUAAGAAACAAGAGGGUUGAGUUGGUGAAGGUGCAAUGGCAGCACUGCAAGGGCUCGGAAUAGACCUGGGAGCCGGAGGACCAGAUGAUGGAGCACCACCAAGAGUUAUUCCCAGACGCAACAGACUUCGAGGAUGAAGUCUAAAAUAAGUGGGGGAGAUUUUUUAAAACCCGGAUCUUGGUAUGUAUUUUAAAUCAAAUUAUUCAUUUUUGCAAAGGGACUCGACGAGUUGGAGGCCCCAAACUCGUCGAGUAGGAAUGGAAUUUGGACGCAGGACUAGAAGUCUACUCGACGAGUUGAGAGCCUCAAAUCGACGAGUAGGGCUGCCAGAGUGAAACCCUAAUUUUUAGGGUUUUUCACCCUAUUUAAACACUUUAACCUCCAAAUCUCGGCCUCAUUUGCAGCCUCCAUCACCCUAAACCCUAGCUACAAAACCCUAAUCCACUUUUGAGUGUUUGUGAGCCAUUGUUGUGUGUUCUUUGUGAUUUUGAAGCUUGAUAAGGAAGGAGAAGCUUGGGAAUUCAAGUGGAAGCUAGUAGAUCCAGAGUUUAAGCUGCAUUUCUGACUCAUUUGUGGUAUAAAGUUGAUACCUUGGCUUUCUAUUACUUAGAUCUUCAUUUAGGGUAGUAUGUUGUCACUUUUGGGCCAUAUUGAAGUCAUUUCCGGGAUUUAAGUAUAUCAUGAAUUUGUGACUUCAGAUCUAGGCACUCAUGAGCUUAUGAGGCUUAAAGUUGCCAGCUUUAUCAAGCCUUGGCCCUUACCCAUGCCCUAGACCUCUUAUAUAGCUUAGUUUUGGUGUUUCUAGCGUCAUGACACCAUUCAUGAACGUAAAGUUAGCAACUUUAUGUGGUAACUUAGUCCAAGGGGACCAGAUCUAUGGUUUAGAAGCAUUUAACUCGAUUGGAAGUGACUGAAUGGAUUUAGUGUAAAGGGACUCGGCGAGUUGUUCAUCUAACUCGGCGAGUUGGGUCGUGGUUCCCCAACCUUUUCUGUUACUGAGCAAACUCGUCGAGUCUAGGAGAUGACUCUGCGAGUUGGCCAUGGUUUUUGGGUUUUGAAGAUUGAAGAACUCGACGAGUUCAAGGAGGAACUCGACAUGUUGUGAGCGAAAUGUCCUGACUCACUUAUGAUGAGGAACUCGACGAGUUGGAUCGAGAUUUUCAGGGUUUUAUGGAUUAUGGAACUCGACGAGUUGAUGGACCAACUCGGCGAGUUGAGUCAACCAGGAUGUUGACUUUGACUUUGACCUUUGACCUGUGACCAAAGUUGACCCAUAAAAGGGAUAUGAGUAUGAAAAGGGUAAUUAAAGGAAAUGCUUAUGUGUAGGAGUCUGAGAGGGAUUGAUUUCAAAGCAGGAGCUUUUGCACCUAUUUCCCAGUUAUCGAGGUGAGUUGCCUUCCAGUAGGAGUGGGUCGAAGGCACCAAUGCCGGCCCACUAGUAUUGAUUACAGUUGCGAUGAUUGUCUUUGUGAUAAUUGUCUGGUAUGCCACUAUCUGUUAUGAUUUAUGUGCUAGUAUGUUAUGUUAUUAUGUGAUAGUGGUAGGGGUGAAAUAGUCAUCGGUUACCGGUUGAAAGAGACCGAAGGGGAGGCCGGCACCCAAAUAUGUUAGGCAGUAUAUGAUUUAUAUGUAUAUGCUAGGGUAUAUAUGGUAGUGGUAGGGGUGAAAUAGUCCCCGAUUACCGGUUGAAAGAGACCGAAGGGGAGGCCAUCACCCAGAUAUGUUAGGCAAUUACCGGUUAAAAGAGACCAAAGGGGAGGCCAACACCCAACUAUGGUAGGCAGUUACCGGUUGAAAGAGACCGAAGGGGAGGCCAGCACCCAGAUAUGGUAGGCAGUUAUCGGUUGAAAGAGACCGAAGGUAGGCCAACACCCAAAUAUGUUAGGCGUUAUGUGAUUAUAUGGUAUGUGGUAUGAUGGGGGAACUCACUAAGUUUUGUGCUUACAAUUUUCAGUUUUUGUUUCAGGUCCUUCUUCUUCGAAGGGAAAGGAGCCAGCACAAUAGCAGCACAUCGCACCCACGAUUUCCCGCACAUGAGAUUCUUGGGAUUUGUACUCUGACAUUAUGUUCCUAUGAUAUGUUUUUGAGAUGGCUGACUUAUGGUUUUCAUGAUAUGAGAUAACAUUGAUGGCAUUUUCAGUAAUCUGUUUUGAUGAAUCUUUAAAUUAAAAAUGAAAUUUUUGGUCUUCAAACUUGGGAUGUUACAUGCAUAGUCCCUUUUAUGAACAUGAUUUAAUAUAAAUAUUAAAUCAAAGUAUUAAAUAUAUGUUGGGAAUCGUAUAUGAAUUAUAUGCUUAUUGUCUGGAUUUAUAUGUUAAUUUAUGUAUAUAUUGUGCUAUCAAACCAAAUAAGGUUUUAUUUUACGUUAGGACUAAAUAGAUAAUAUCAUAUAAUAGUAUUAAAAGUAGCAUUGUUGAGAAGAUAAAAGAAUAAUAAUACUUGAUGCUCUGUAUGGAAUAUAAAUACAUUAGAGAUAGGUUAGUGUCACCCAAUAAUAAAGUUGGCAUUAAAAGUUGGUUACAUGCAUUGUAAUCUAGUCUAGGGAUAAACUUGACUUGUGGAAGGUACCUAGUUCAAUUAAGUUUGAUAUAAGGUAGUCUCAUUAGGAGAAUGUGUGUAACCUAAGGACGAAGAGUAAAGUUCUGUUCCGUGACACUUUCAAGUGUUAAUUUACGGUAGCCCCGUACGGGAGUAUGAUAUAGUCUUCCCGUUGGGAUGACCAGAUAUGGUUGGUCCCGAUCAGACAACUAUAAUAGUAUGCCUACAUAUUCUUGAAUAACCAGAAAUAGUAGGUCAUGAUCAGACAACUGUAAUGGCAUGUAUGUAUAUUCUUUGUGACAUACAUAAGCCAAGGAAGCGCCUAGCUGUGUCGUCAAUCUUUUAAUGGUUCAUCAGGCGAGAUAAUUUUCCCCUGAUAAUCAUGGCUAAGGAUUUUUGAUGAUCGGUAGGAAUGGAUAUGUACAAUGUAAGUCUGUAUGGAUAUAGUAUGGUAAUGGUUGGUUUUGCAGGUCUGAUAAUUUAGGAAUAUUAUCAUAUCAAUAUUGUGGGAUUAAAAUCCAUAUGUAUCUCACUUGGUUUCUCCAACCUGACUCAUUCAGUUUAUAUGCAUCACAAGUAUCAAGACUUAAGCUACUGGAACUUUGUUAUGAUGUUCGGUGAUUAAAAGACAACCUGCAAUAGUAUUCAAGACCAUCAUGUCUUUACGUUGUAACUUAUGUAUCUGUAUUGAUUAUGACAUCUUUAGGGUUUUAACAUUUUAAAAACAAACAUUUGUAAUCAAAAUGAUCUUUUAUACCGAGAUUUUCCGUAAAUAUAAAUAAACGAUUUUUAAAACGUAAAGAAAAAUUUUAAUCGGUUAUAAAAGAUGUCAUACAGUCAUCUUCAAACCAUAAAUAACAAUGGAACCAAAUAAUUUUCAUUGAAAAAAAAAGACAACAAAAGCAAACAAUGUCACUAAUCUGUCAAUUUCAAACCUAAGGCCAAUACAAUGUCACUAAUCUGUCAAUUUCAAACCUAAGGCCAAUACGGCCAAUACAACAGAUGUCAUACAGUCAUCUUCAAACCAUAAAUAACAAUGGGACCAAAUAAUUUUCAUUGAAAAAAAAAGACAACAAAAGCAAACAAUGUCACUAAUCUGUCAAUUUCAAACCUAAGGCCAUUACAGCUUUCAAUCAAGGCAAGUAUGACCCACAUAGUUAAAGUAAACCUAAGCAAACCUUUGUUUUAAAAAUUACAAAUACACUCCUAACGGAUAAAUUAUAUGGAAGAUAUACUUUUGAAGUUGAUCAACCAUUAUGAAUAAUCAUGCACCCAUCCAGCUUUUCAUAAAGAUUAGAUUGUUUUCACGAUUAUUAAGUUAUAAAAGAAAGAGUAACUUUACAUGUUGCUUCAAAUGUUAAGUAACAAUAAAGUUAGAAAAAACAUCCCAAACAUAAAUAACGCCAUCACUUUCCUCAUUAUACAGUUAAAUAAAGUUUUUAUGUUGAAAUUUUUAUGAGAAAGGAAGUUUAGUAGUAUUCAUGUGAGCCGAAUGUUUGUCUACGAGUAAUUUGAUCAAGGGAGAUUCAACAUCUGAGUCUUUGUUGUCCCGAUACACGGAGACUUUUCCAGAGUUGGUGACAAGUAUUACUACCUCUUUACGACUUGACAGCUCAUUUGCUACAACCGCAUUCAUUUUGUACCUUUUUAGAGCUGCAUCUGCCUUCUCUAAAAGAAUCUCUUUGUCUGUCUCCAACUGAUCAUGUAAAUAAAUGUAACCAACCAACCCAAACAUAUGUUUUUAUUUAAUAUUUCUACAAAAUAAAUAAAUAUCUGUAUGCAGUGAGUGAGGGCUUAUAUAUCUAUCUACCUUGAAUGAUACGCAGAAUGCUGUGGGGGCCCACACUUUCCGCAAAACCGAAAGCAUCUUCGGGACUUGGGCAAGCCGCAUAUCCAAAGGACCAGAUGCAGACUGAAUUUUAUGUACUGCCUACAUUUAUAUAUUAAAAAAAAAUUACAUUUAUUUACCUCUUUUUCUUUUUUUUUUUAAAAUUUAUGUAUUAUAAAUAUUACCAUGCUCUCCCAUGGAACAUAAAAGUCAGAUACCGCAGCUGCAAGAUAAAACAUACCACUUGGUCCAAGCAUCUUCAUUGAUGUUGCAAUCAACCGUAAAAUCUGCUCAUUAGUAGUAAUAGCUGUAAUUACAAAACAACAUUUCUGAUUUUGGACACGAUGGUCAUUUUUGCAUUUACAUUUCCAUAAUUUUCUUGUCAUUUUCAUAUGAAAGAUGGCCAUUUUGCAAAGAAAAAACAAAAAGUCAAAGCUUUAUAUGACUUAAUUAAAAAAGAUGAUAGAAACAAAAUAAAUGAUAUCCAUGUAUGUUAGGUUGAGUUUUGAUGAUUAAUCUUGCAGACUUGUUAUGAUUUAAAAGGUCAACUUUCAAUGCCAAAACUUCCAAAUUUUAAAAAUUCAGCUUUAUGUUUUUACUCAUGCUAACCUGAAGAUACUCAAAGAUGGUUGUGAAGGGAAGUUUCAGCAAGAAACCUCCUGAAACAGCCUGUCAUGAAAUGAAACCUUUAAGCAUAUAUAAGAAACGCAGCUUUGAACAAGAGAAAGAGAUAUGGCUCCUACUGCAUGAUGUUUGCUAAUUGCCGUCUUAACUGCUUCGGAGUGCGACUCGUGCACUGUAAAAUUUUGUAAAACAAACAAAGUAGAUCAUUUUAUAAAUUAAUAUUGUAUUUGUUUUUUUUUUUUUUUAACAAACCUUGUACUUGUAUGCAUGAAUCAUCAUCGGUAACCCGGAAACAUUCGAGUAGCGGAUCUUCCGGAAGUGAUCUACAAUAUGGCUGGCAGGUUCCCCUGCAGAAUCACUUUCUCAGUUAAUAAUUUUGUAUGUUUGUCUAACUAUAACCGGUGUUAUAAAAUAAAAUUUAUCCACCUCCUAUACAGAAAGAUGACUGAAUAUCCAGAUUUCAGAAAGUACCUGCAUAUAAUCAACAAACCAUCCACAUUGUCUUUNUUUGUUUUUUUUUUUAAAAAAAAAAAAAAAAAAAAAAAAAAAAAAGGAGAAACUUGAAGGAAGUAGGGGUAUACUCGGUAGACGUUGCUCCUCUAUGCCCAGAGCUGAAGUUAUCGAUGUAACGGACACAUCGUUGCUCUAAAGGAACAGUGGUACCACCAGAUGUCACACAUACAACCCUUCUAGGCCCACCUCCACUUCCUAACACCACAUCACAAAACAUUCAAACAAGAUCAACCCAAACUAAAUAUACAUACAUAUACAGGUGAAGUGAACAUGCCUGAUAAUGAGGAUUUCUGAUCAAUAAAUUUGGUUAAUUUUCUGGUUAUGAUAUCACCAUCUUUCAGAAGGGGUGCUGUGUCAAAGAAGGAGGUUGUUUCAUCCACAGUAUCCAUGGAAAUAGCUACUGAAAUAUUAGGAUGGAGGAAAGGGUUUUAGCCAUAUAACACAAUCAAAGAGAUCAUUGGUUUUACAAAAAUAAAAACGCCCCCAAAAGAACAAGUUCACAAAAGGCAAACAGCCAACAUAGAUCAUUGGUACUUCCCAUGUGCAAGAAAUUAUGUUUAAUCAGCCAUUUUCAUAUACAUUAUACAAAGCAAUCAAUAAAAAAAAGAGUACUUCGUUUCAAAGCAGUAUGAUCUAAAUAGAAAACACCACAGGGGAAGGCAUUACAGCAAUCAAUUGCAUAUACAAUCAAUCCAAUUCAUGGUACCCAAAUGCAAAACCAUUUUCAAUUAUCUGCUUAACUGCAAUUAACCACAUCAGGUAGUAAAUACAUACCCAAUUAAUAUUAAUUCAGAGACAAAAACUUCCCGAUCAGGUAGCUAUUAUCAACUUGAAGUAAAGUUUUGCAGAAAUUGCAUAUAUACAGAUAUUUUGGCAUAAUAACUCAAACGAAAAGCCAGGAAAGGCACAAAACGGUCCAUGAACAGCCUAGUACAUACAUCUGUGUCUAUAAACUGAGACAGACAGUACCUUAUUCAGCCGCUUCAGAUCAACCAGCUUGAUGCAAACAAAAAUGCCAGUACCGAUCUAAAUAUAAUGGAGAGAGAGAGAGAGAGAGAGAGAGAGAGAGAGAGAGAGAAUUAUUGAUGAUGUUGGUGAUAAAUUUAAUGGCCGUCAUUUCCCGCCAUUCUUACGCCCAUAUUAAGAUAAUGGAGCUGCUUAAUUAUUAAAACCCAAAAACAAAAUAAGGUUCGCAGUGGAUGGAAAAUUGAUGAAGGAUAUCAUCCCAAAAGUAAAACCCUACUUCUUACAAUUAAAAAAUGUCUAGAUAAUAAUUAAAGCAAUCAAGGAUAUCACGGGAUUUGCAACUAAAAAAACACAGCAAACGACGAAGAAAAGAAGAAAACCCCUACCCCUAAAUCGCCAAAAGAAACUAAUCAAAUAGCAGUAGGGGAGGGAGUUUGAGGCAGAUGCUGAUAAUGGGUGGCGGUUGGAGAAGUACAGAACAAUCACGGAUCGGCGAAGUCGGUCGGGUUUUUAGGCUGGAGGGUACCACUUAC
Molecule: long non-coding RNA, 18302 nt
Filed under: Lactuca sativa (garden lettuce)
Lineage: Eukaryota; Viridiplantae; Streptophyta; Magnoliopsida; Asterales; Asteraceae
Description: long non-coding RNA (LSAT_LNC006626)
Source: RNAcentral